Molecule: ribosomal RNA, 419 nt
Filed under: uncultured eukaryote
Lineage: Eukaryota
Description: SSU rRNA
Rfam family: Eukaryotic small subunit ribosomal RNA
Source: RNAcentral
CCAGCAGCUGCGGUAAUUCCAGCUCCAAUAGCGUAUAUUAAAGUUGUUGCGGUUAAAAAGCUCGUAGUUGGAUUUCUGCCGAGGACGACCGGUCCGCCCACUGGGUGUGCAUCUGGCUCGGCCUGGGCAUCUUCUUGGAGAACGUAUCUGCACUUCACUGUGUGGUGCGGUAUCCAGGACUUUUACUUUGAGGAAAUUAGAGUGUUUCAAGCAGGCACACGCCUUGAAUACGUUAGCAUGGAAUAAUAAGAUAGGACCUUGGUUCUAUUUUGUUGGUUUCUAGAACUGAGGUAAUGAUUAAUAGGGAUAGUUGGGGGCAUUGGUAUUUGGUAGUCAGAGGUGAAAUUCUUGGAUUUACCAAAGACUAACUGGUGCGAAAGCGUUUGCCAAGGAUGUUUUCAUUGAUCAAGAACGAAAGU